This 460-nucleotide ribosomal RNA is filed under the name uncultured bacterium. RNAcentral's name for it is "partial 16S ribosomal RNA". It matches the Rfam family "Bacterial small subunit ribosomal RNA", at positions 338 to 795 of the family's 1533-position model. The record is from RNAcentral.
CCUACGGGAGGCAGCAGUGAGGAAUAUUGGUCAAUGGACGAGAGUCUGAACCAGCCAUGCAGCGUGAAGGAUGACUGCUCUAUGGGUUGUAAACUUCUUUUAUAAAGGAAUAAAACGAGGCACGCGUGUCUUUCUGCAUGUAUUUUACGAAUAAGGAUCGGCUAACUCCGUGCCAGCAGCCGCGGUAAUACGGAGGAUUCGAGCGUUAUCCGGAUUUAUUGGGUUUAAAGGGUGCGUAGACGGGUUGUUAAGUUAGUGGUGAAAGUUUGCGGCUCAACUGUGAAAUUGCAAUUGAUACUGGCCGUCUUGAGUGCAGUUGAGGUAGGCGGAAUGCGUGGUGUAGCGGUGAAAUGCUUAGAUAUCACAAAGAACCCCGAUUGCGAAGGCAGCUUACUAAGCUAUGUCUGACAUUGAUGCUCGAAAGUGUGGGUAUCAAACAGGAUUAGAUACCCCAGUAGUC